Molecule: non-coding RNA, 936 nt
Organism: Dipodomys ordii (Ord's kangaroo rat)
Lineage: Eukaryota; Metazoa; Chordata; Mammalia; Rodentia; Heteromyidae
Source: the annotation of a RefSeq genome assembly
UUACCCGACAAAGCCAUCACCCCUAGUCAGAGCUCAGGCUGUCAGUGGGUUGUGGAAUGUUUUGGCCUGUGUCCAUGAAGUCACUAAUCAUGUAUGCUGCCCUGGGUGAUAAAAGUCAUUAGGAGAGGAGCUGUCCAUGGUCUGACUGGGACUUGUUGGGUCAUUGAAUCUGUGAAGAGUUACUGUGAUGAUCCAGUUCUGUGCCUGUGCCCAUCACUGUAGCUGUGCUAAGGCCCUGCUGAUUUGCAUGUGCCAAGAGCACAGCCCACUGCCUGAGCAUUUCUAAUAGCUGGUCUCAACCUGUGCAGGGGUCAGCCUCAUUCAACACACAGUAUAGCCAUGGCAGCUCCUGCUCAGCUCCUGGGGUUCCUGCUGCUCUGUCUCCAAGGAGCCAGACGUGACAUCCAGAUGACCCAGUCUCCACCUUCACUGUCUGUUUCUCCAGGAGACAGAGUCACAAUCACUUGCCAUGCCAGUGAGAAUAAUUAUAACAAUUUACACUGGUACCAGCAGAAACCAGGGGAAGCUCCUAAGCUCCUGAUCAGUUAUGUAUCAAAUUUGCAACCUGGGGUUCCACCCAGGUUCAGUAGCAGUGGGUAUGGGACAGAGUUCACUCUCACCAUCAGCAGCCUGCAACCUGAAGAUGUUGCCACUUAUUACUGUCAACAAAGUACUAGUUGCCCUCCCACAGUGAUACAAGUCAUAGCAUAAACCUCUUAGGGAAGCAGAAGUGUGAGGCUCAGCUGCCCCAGCUGCUGCUCCUGGUGCCUCUUCCUGCUAAGGGUAUUUCAUAGAGGAAGCCAAGUUCUGAAAUUAUUGGAAUGAUGUUUUUGAUUUGUAGCAGUGGCAAGGAUUAGCACUGUACUAUCACUCCAGUUUAUCCCACUGUUUUUCCCAGCACAGACAUGUUGAUGCCUCUUCUAAUAGAAAGGAAAG